RNAcentral lists this non-coding RNA (165 nucleotides) under Parahaemophilus parainfluenzae. RNAcentral's name for it is "Haemophilus parainfluenzae GcvB RNA". It matches the Rfam family "GcvB RNA". Rfam says of the family: The gcvB gene encodes a small untranslated RNA involved in expression of the dipeptide and oligopeptide transport systems in Escherichia coli. Included several unknown homologues in alignment (Bateman A pers obs). The record is from RNAcentral. Lineage: Bacteria; Pseudomonadati; Pseudomonadota; Gammaproteobacteria; Pasteurellales; Pasteurellaceae.
UGGUAAUUCCUUACAAGUUAAUGAGUUUCAGACUUAAGUAUGAUGUUGUGUUUGCAUAUAGUUCGGUUCUCCGAACUGGAGUAACAAUUAAGUUACUCAUUUACUUCCUGUAUAUAUUAAAACCAUUCUGGUUAAGCGCUGCUCGUUUCGAGCGGCGUUUUUUUU